UACAGAGGUGGCAAGCGUUGUUCGGAAUUACUGGGCGUAAAGGGCGCGUAGGCGGUCCGAUAAGUCCCGUGUGAAAUCCCUCGGCUCAACUGAGGAACCGCACGGGAAACUGCCGGGCUUGAGUUCGGGAGAGGGAAGCGGAAUUCCGGGUGUAGCGGUGAAAUGCGUAGAUAUCUGGAGGAACACCGGUGGCGAAGGCGGCAUCCUGGACCGGCAUUGACGCUGAGGCGCGAAAGCUAGGGGAGCAAACGGG
RNAcentral lists this ribosomal RNA (253 nucleotides) under uncultured bacterium. RNAcentral describes it as "partial 16S ribosomal RNA". It matches the Rfam family "Bacterial small subunit ribosomal RNA", at positions 524 to 776 of the family's 1533-position model. The record is from RNAcentral.